GAAACAUUUUUCUUUAUAUAAUUAUUAACAGUGAUUAUGUUAAGAUAAAAGAGUGCCAAAGUUAUAUACAAUCUAUUAGUAUAAUUAUUAUAUACUUAUAUCUAGGUUUAGGAAUAUUUAUUAAAUUAUUUAUAUUAUCAAGUAAAUAUCUUGGGUGAAAAUCCUCUCAACAGUCAUUAAUCAACAUGUAAGGGAAAGUAAAUCCAUUUUAUUUGUAAUCAUUUAAGGGGAAAUAACCUCAUUUCUUUUGAUCAUGUAAGGGGAAGUAAUUUAGUUUUGUUGUGGUUCUCUGUAAUAACAGUACUACAGUACUAUUGUACAAGGUAUUACAAAUAAAUUUCAUAAGAUAUUAGGAAAAGUGAAUUUAUUAUUGGUACCCCAAAUUACCUUACAAUGCAGAAGUAUUAUCAUUUUCAACAGUAUUAGUGGAUCUAUUAUGCUUCAUUAUGCUACAUGCAAAGUUUUAAAAUGUUUAGUAACGUGAGGAUGGGUCCAGAUCAUUUACACAUUUAGGAAAAACGAUUUGGAAAAUAACUUAUACGGCACCAAUUUUUACAGCAGAAACUGUACCAAAAUUUGUUAAUCAGUAUUAUUGAGAUUUUAAAUAUGCUUGAAUUUUUAUAGUACUUAAUAUAUGAAAAGCCAAACACAUUUUAAAAAAUUGGUCAUCAUAAUAAAUGUUUGUGUUUGUAAUUCAUAUUAAGCCCCAAAAAAUUACUCAUACUUUCAAUUAAAUAAGGAAAUUUUCAAUCUAUGCAUGUUGAGAAUAAUUUUGUUGUACAUUUUUUUUUAUUCUGACAUUUUUGUAAUUUUCCAAAUUUUGACCAGCAUUAGUGGUGCUGCUCUGUGAUUUCAGUAGAACACUACAAGAGUACUAUCAUAUUUGAUCUAGUCAUUUUUUUUGCAUUUCAGUAUAUUUAUAUAGAUAGACCUAUACAAUUUAUGUCUAGCCAGAUUUGUAUUUCAGUGGGGUUUUGUUGUUGUUGGUAGUACUGAUAUUUUGUAUUAAAUAUACAUCAAUUGUAUGUAGUAGCUGGCCACUUUUGAAAAUAAAAACAUUUAAUUGUUGUUACCUAAAACAAAUUAUACUAUUGAAAUUGUCACCAAGGAUAUACAAAAAUGUGUCAAAGACAUAUAUUUUGCAUACACAAACAUAUAAAAUAGUGCAUUUUAAAAAAUAGUAAGUUCUUUUUAAGAUUGUUCUGAAAUCUGUGUUUAAUGUAAGUUUCCGGUGCAUGUGAACUUAAUUAUGAUAUUUGUCAAUUAUUGAACAGGGUAGUAUUUAUUUUUGUCAUAGAUUUCAUUUAGGUGCUAGACCAAUUAUUAAAAAUAAGCACAUUUUAAAGUCUACAUUUUGAAACAGUAUUAAAUUCAUAAUUGUAUGUAAAUGGUCAAGUUUUGUCAUUCAUUUUAUUUAUAAAAUUGUUUUUGCCUAAAAUUUAGCAGAUAUCCCUUACAGUACAUUCUUCAAUUUUCUGAAGGCACAUAUGUUUGAAUAACAUCACUUUGGAUACAUGUAAUACAUGUGUAAAUUUAGUUCAAGAAUAAGUAUGAAAUCUUACACAACCAAGUAGUUCUGCAUUUUACCAAUGCAACUGCUUAAUCUGAAAAUAAUUAUAGUGCAUUCUAUAAGAAUUGUAAGAAAAUGGUUGUUUUUAAUGGAGUUUAUUCCAUUUUAAGCGCUAUUGUUUACUCACAAACUAAUAUUUUAUUGACAAUUCAGUUCUUGAGUAUCAAUUUUUGGUUUUCAUAUAAUAAACUCUUUUAGUAUAAUUUGUAUUACUGAAUUGUGGUUUUAGAGGGUGAAAAUGUUCUGAUUAUGUACUCUUGUUAAAGACUUCUUAGCUCACCUAGCCCAUCACUUGGCAUCCGUUGUGUUCGUCGGUCGUCGUUAACUUUUACAAAAGUCUUCUCCUGAAACUACUGGGCCAAAUUAAACCAAACUUGGCCACAAUCAUCAUUGGGGUAUCUAAUUUUGAAAAUGUGUGGGGUGACCCGGCCAACCAAUGCUAUGGCUAAAAAUAGAACAUGGGGGUAAAAUGUAGAUUUUUACUUAUAACUCUGAAACCAAAACUUUUAGGGCAAAUCUAAAUGGGUGAAAUUGUUUAUCAAGUCAAGAAAGCCCUGAAAUUUUCAGAUGAAUCAGACAACCGGUUGUUGGGUUGCUGCCCCUGAAUUGGAAAUUUUAAGAAUUUUUUUCCGUUUUUGGUUAUUAUCUUGAAUAUUAUUAUAGAUAGAGAUAAACUGUAAGCAGCAAUAAUGUUCAGCAAAGUAAGAUCUACAAAUAAGUCAACAUUACCAAAAUUGUCAGUCGAUCCCGUAGGGAGUUAUUGCCCUUUAUAGUCAAUUUUUAUACAAUUUUGUAAUCUUUUACAAAAAUCUUCUCCUCUGAAACUACUGGGCCAAAUUUAACCAAACUUGGCCACAAUCAUCAUUGAGGUAUCUAGUUAAAAAUGUGCCCAGUGACCUGGCCAACCAAGCAAGAUGGCUGCCAUGGCUAAAAUUGAACAUAGGGGUAAAAUGUAGAUUUUGGUGUAUAACUCUAAAACCAAAGCAUUUAGAACAAAUCUGACUGGGUAAAUUGUUUAUCAAGUGAAGAUCUAUCUGCCCAUAUAUUUUUAGUUGAAUCAGAAAACCAGUUGUUGGAUUGGUGCCCCUGAAUUGGUAAUUUUUAAGGAGGAAAUUUUACCGUUUUGGUUAUCAUCUUGAACAGCCAAGCUCAUUAUAGAUUAGAGAUAAUUAUAAGUAGCAAGAAUGUUCAGUAAAGUAAGAACUUCAAACAUAUCACCAUCACCAAAACACAAUUUUGUCAUGAAUCCAUCGUGUCCUUUGUUUAAUAUGCACAUAGACCAAGGUGAGCGACACAAGCUCUUAAGAGCCUCUACUUUUAAAACACUAUUGCUAGAAACACACAUUUUCAUUAAGAAUGAUAUAUUAGAACCAGUUAAUUGCUAUGAUUAAUAAAACAUUGUAGGACAUAAAAUAUACUGGUGGUCAAGUCAUCUAAGUUAGAUGUUAUUAUUUUCAAAUUAUCAUCUUGUGCUUUUUUGUAUAACAUUUUGAAAAAAAAAAUGCUGAAAAAAUACACAUUAUGUAGUACUAUGUUGACUUGUGUUCUGG
This 3120-nucleotide long non-coding RNA is filed under the name Mytilus galloprovincialis (Mediterranean mussel). Lineage: Eukaryota; Metazoa; Mollusca; Bivalvia; Mytilida; Mytilidae. The record is from RNAcentral.